This 65-nucleotide transfer RNA is filed under the name Dipodomys ordii (Ord's kangaroo rat). It matches the Rfam family "tRNA". Rfam says of the family: Transfer RNA (tRNA) molecules are approximately 80 nucleotides in length. Their secondary structure includes four short double-helical elements and three loops (D, anti-codon, and T loops). The record is from Rfam by way of RNAcentral. Lineage: Eukaryota; Metazoa; Chordata; Mammalia; Rodentia; Heteromyidae.
GGUGGUUCAGUGGUAGAGUGUUUGCCUAGCAUGCAAGAGGCCCUGGGUUCAAUUCCUCAGCACCA